This 72-nucleotide transfer RNA is filed under the name Bos taurus (domestic cattle). It matches the Rfam family "tRNA". From Rfam's summary of the family: Transfer RNA (tRNA) molecules are approximately 80 nucleotides in length. Their secondary structure includes four short double-helical elements and three loops (D, anti-codon, and T loops). RNAcentral also lists the same sequence under 2 other names. The record is from Rfam by way of RNAcentral. Lineage: Eukaryota; Metazoa; Chordata; Mammalia; Artiodactyla; Bovidae.
UCCUGGGUACCUCAGCUGGUAAAGAAUCUGCCUGCAAUGCAGGAGACCCUGGUUUGAUUCCUGGGUUGGGAA